UACGAAGGGGGCUAGCGUUGCUCGGAAUUACUGGGCGUAAAGCGCGUGUAGGCGGCUAUGCAAGUCGGGCGUGAAAUCCCUCGGCUCAACCGAGGAAGUGCACUCGAAACUGCGUAGCUAGAGUCUCGGAGAGGAAGGUGGAAUACUUGGUGUAGAGGUGAAAUUCGUAGAUAUCAAGUGGAACACCGGUGGCGAAGGCGGCCUUCUGGACGAUGACUGACGCUGAGACGCGAAAGCGUGGGGAGCAAACAGG
Molecule: ribosomal RNA, 253 nt
Filed under: uncultured bacterium
Lineage: Bacteria
Description: partial 16S ribosomal RNA
Rfam family: Bacterial small subunit ribosomal RNA
Source: RNAcentral